This 495-nucleotide ribosomal RNA is filed under the name uncultured bacterium. Its description in RNAcentral is "partial 16S ribosomal RNA". It matches the Rfam family "Bacterial small subunit ribosomal RNA", at positions 28 to 507 of the family's 1533-position model. The record is from RNAcentral.
GACGAACGCUGGCGGCGUGCCUAAUACAUGCAAGUAGAACGCUGAAGGAGGAGCUUGCUUCUCUGGAUGAGUUGCGAACGGGUGAGUAACGCGUAGGUAACCUGCCUGGUAGCGGGGGAUAACUUUUGGAAACGAUAGCUAAUACCGCAUAAUAGUAGAUGUUGCAUGACAUUUGCUUAAAAGGUGCAAUUGCUUCACUACCAGAUGGACCUGCGUUGUAUUAGCUAGUUGGUGAGGUAACGGCUCACCAAGGCAACGAUACAUAGCCGACCUGAGAGGGUGAUCGGCCACACUGGGACUGAGACACGGCCCAGACGCCUACGGGAGGCAGCAGUAGGGAAUCGUCGGCAAUGGACGGAAGUCUGACCGAGCAACGCCGCGUGAGUGAAGAAGGUUGUCGGAUCGUAAAGCUCUGUUGUAAGAGAAGAACGAGUGUGAGAGUGGAAAGUUCACACUGUGACGGUAUCUUACCAGAAAGGGACGGCUAACUACGUG